GAAUGACAAAGGAGAAUGGCACUGAGUCAGGAGAGCUGCAAGGAGGAGGACAGCAGAGAUGGAGACCCUAAAUAAUGGCUCUCUUGUGGAUAAAAUAUAACCUCUACUGAAAGAGGGGAAAGCAGUGGAGGAAAGUAACCACAACAUUUUAGAGGCAGAGUGAAGUAAAGGAAAAACAUGGAGUUCAGAAAGCAAAAUAAAUCUAAAUCAGCAUUUAGCUUUAUUUUAUUCAUAGGGUCUGUGUAUAAGGAGUGUCCUUCUGAAAAACUGUAUAAAAUCACAUUUCCUGUCAAGAUAUUCCAUAUUCUUACAGAUCACAUUAUUCUCUGAACUGUCACUGUUCUGUGUAAACAUUUCAAGAUAACUGAUAAUUCAAACAGAGCCAAGUGGGAUGGAAAUCAGAGUGUGUUUUUGAUAAGUUUCUAUAUUCUUGCCAGCAAUUAUUUUGUGAGUGUGAGAUUCCCAUUCUUCAAGUGGGAUCCAUCAUUUUGGGCUAAAACUGUGAACGUGCAGGUUCAAUAGUAGACAGAAUCUGGUGGCUUUUAUCAUCACAAGGCCCAUAUUGAAGCUUGUACUUGGGGAACAUAAAUAAAUUGGUUCCCUCACAAAAAGCAAAGCAAUUUCUCUUUCUUUUUCUUUCUUUCUUUUUUUUUUUUUUUUUACCAAGUGGGGAUCUACAGUAACAGUUACAGCAAAGCCAAAGUAAAUUCAGGAGCCUAGAGUACACUGAAGAUCUUUUAUAUUAAUUAAUGGACACCCUCCAUCUAUUGCUGAAGGCGGGUUAAAAGAAGGUCAGGCCUCUAUUUUAUGCAUGUCCAAUAUGAGUAAUAAGGUUAUUAAUCCCCUCACGUGAACCAGAAGUAAUGAAUGUUCAGCUGCACUAUUUUCAAAUGAGAAGACGAGUCGGGCUAUGAACCUUGAGUCUCAUGCUGCUGGCAGUGAGUAUAAGUCAUAGGAAGAGGAGAGUAGAUAAGAGAGGAAAAGGGGCUCUGGUAGGGAGAAAUAAAAGAGCACCUAGCAAAAUAACUAAAGCAUAACUAAAUUUGUUAUAUUUAAUAGAAUAUUUUAUUAUAUACAAUAAAAUAGAUGAUUAUCAGCUAGUGACAAAGUAAUC
Long non-coding RNA from Astatotilapia calliptera (eastern happy), 1114 nucleotides. NCBI's taxonomy places the organism in Eukaryota, Metazoa, Chordata, Actinopteri, Cichliformes, Cichlidae. The record is from Ensembl.